UACAGAGGUCUCAAGCGUUGUUCGGAUUCAUUGGGCGUAAAGGGUGCGCAGGCGGCGUGGUAAGUUGAGUGUGAAAUCCUGAGGCUCAACCUCAGAACUGCACUCAAUACUCCCACGCUAGAGGAAUGUAGAGGAGAGUGGAAUUCACGGUGUAGCAGUGAAAUGCGUAGAUAUCGUGAGGAAGACCAGUUGCGAAGGCGACUCUCUGGGCAUUUCCUGACGCUCAGGCACGAAGGCCAGGGGAGCAAACGGG
RNAcentral lists this ribosomal RNA (253 nucleotides) under uncultured bacterium. RNAcentral describes it as "partial 16S ribosomal RNA". It matches the Rfam family "Bacterial small subunit ribosomal RNA", at positions 524 to 776 of the family's 1533-position model. The record is from RNAcentral.